UACAGAGGGGGCAAGCGUUGUUCGGAAUUACUGGGCGUAAAGGGCGCGUAGGCGGCCCGCUAAGUCGAACGUGAAAUCCCCGGGCUCAACCCGGGAACUGCGUCCGAUACUGGUGGGCUUGAAUCCGGGAGAGGGAUGCGGAAUUCCAGGUGUAGCGGUGAAAUGCGCAGAUAUCAGGAGGAACACCGGUGGCGAAGGCGGGUCUCUGGGCAAUAACUGACGCUGAGGAGCGAAAGCGUGGGGAGCGAACAGG
Molecule: ribosomal RNA, 253 nt
Filed under: uncultured bacterium
Lineage: Bacteria
Description: partial 16S ribosomal RNA
Rfam family: Bacterial small subunit ribosomal RNA
Source: RNAcentral